CCGGAUGUUAGCGGCGGACGGGUGAGUAACACGUGGGUAACCUGCCUGUAAGACUGGGAUAACUCCGGGAAACCGGAGCUAAUACCGGAUAGUUCCUUGAACCGCAUGGUUCAAGGAUGAAAGACGGUUUCGGCUGUCACUUACAGAUGGACCCGCGGCGCAUUAGCUAGUUGGUGGGGUAAUGGCUCACCAAGGCGACGAUGCGUAGCCGACCUGAGAGGGUGAUCGGCCACACUGGGACUGAGACACGGCCCAGACUCCUACGGGAGGCAGCAGUAGGGAAUCUUCCGCAAUGGACGAAAGUCUGACGGAGCAACGCCGCGUGAGUGAUGAAGGUUUUCGGAUCGUAAAGCUCUGUUGUUAGGGAAGAACAAGUGCGAGAGUAACUGCUCGCACCUUGACGGUACCUAACCAGAAAGCCACGGCUAACUACG
This 434-nucleotide ribosomal RNA is filed under the name Bacillus safensis. RNAcentral's name for it is "bacterial SSU rRNA". It matches the Rfam family "Bacterial small subunit ribosomal RNA", at positions 85 to 505 of the family's 1533-position model. The record is from RNAcentral. Lineage: Bacteria; Bacillati; Bacillota; Bacilli; Caryophanales; Bacillaceae.